RNAcentral lists this long non-coding RNA (357 nucleotides) under Chloebia gouldiae (Gouldian finch). RNAcentral's name for it is "Erythrura gouldiae (Gouldian finch) lncRNA (ENSEGOG00005004058.1)". Lineage: Eukaryota; Metazoa; Chordata; Aves; Passeriformes; Passeridae. The record is from RNAcentral.
GUCAGGGUCUCUCCAUGGCCUGGAGCAGGCUCCCAGUGCAUGGAGCUGCACUUGGCACUGAAAGGGGAGCCAGCAGCGGAGGGAUGAUCCCCUGGGACAAGCCUGGGUGUUGCUCUUGGCACAGAAAGGUUUUCCUGAAUGGAAAAUUGCUGACUCUCAGCAGGAGACGCAUUUCAAAGGUUUGCUGACUUUUUAAUAUACAGCAUAUCAAGUUCACACCUGUUCCUGUCCUGAACAUUCUGGUAGAGAAAUUGAUGUCAGACUAAGAGGAGAAUUCCAGGUAUGUGCCACAAUUACCACACAAACUUUUUCUGAAAUAGUUAACAGGCACUUGAUUGAAAACAUCUGAUAUUUAUU